ACAAGCCUGUUCGUUUGAGCAUAUCAGAUUACUGUUAGUCAUUUAACAAUAUUUUUCUCUCAUAAUAAAUCAGCAGUACUUCCUACAUGGUGACAUAUAUGCUUUGUGGUCAUGUGAUGUUAAGGCCUUGUUUAGUUCCCAAAAAGUAGCCAAAAUUUUUCAAGAUUCUCCGUUAUAUCGAAUCUUGUGGUAUAUGCAUAGAGUAUUAAAUAUAAAUGAAAAUAAAAACUAAUUGCACAGUUUGUCUAUAAAUCGUGAGAUGAAUCUUUUGAGCCUAGUUAGUCCAUGAUUAGAUAAUAAUUGCCAAAUAAAAAUAAAAGUGCUACAGUAUCCCAAAACAAAAAAUUUUUGGAACCAAACAAGGCCUAAGUUAGUUCCAAAUUUUGCCUUGAGCCAGUAGCCUCAUUUCUCGCCAGUACAUUAUAGUCGCUGACAUCUGUUGAGGGUACAAACAUGAUAAAAAUUUCCAAGCAACAAUGUUUUAUUCCAAACCCAAAACACAACAUCAAAGAUGCAUGAAAACAGAAGUAGCUGGCAACUUUGUCUUCCCAUGCAUGGUGCACUUGUUCUGUUCAUCCUUCGAAUACCUCCAGCAGGAUCUCCUUCAGCUCCUGAGGAGUGACUCCUGGGCUGAUGCUGCUGUGAUCCUCCAAGUAUUCCUUAAAGCCUCCAAGUAUAUAACUCCGUAUAUACCUGUUGAUUCUGUUAGUGAUGCUGUCAAAAAAAAAAAAGUUUGGUAGGUGAGGUUAUGGAGAUGGAGAUGGGGAGGCCAACUCGUGUAGAGCUGCUGCCGUAUGAAGUGGGAGUUGUUGAUCGAGAAGAUGAACUUGAGGC
RNAcentral lists this long non-coding RNA (834 nucleotides) under Sorghum bicolor (sorghum). RNAcentral describes it as "long non-coding RNA (SBIC_LNC000629)". The record is from RNAcentral. Lineage: Eukaryota; Viridiplantae; Streptophyta; Magnoliopsida; Poales; Poaceae.